CCUACGGGCGGCAGCAGUGGGGAAUAUUGGACAAUGGGCGAAAGCCUGAUCCAGCCAUGCCGCGUGUGUGAAGAAGGCCUUCGGGUUGUAAAGCACUUUCAGUGGGGAAGAAAGCCUUGGGGCUAAUACCCUCGAGGAAGGACAUCACCCACAGAAGAAGCACCGGCUAACCCCGUGCCAGCAGCCGCGGUAAUACGGAGGGUGCGAGCGUUAAUCGGAAUUACUGGGCGUAAAGCGCGCGUAGGCGGUCUGAUAAGCCGGUUGUGAAAGCCCCGGGCUCAACCUGGGAACGGCAUCCGGAACUGUCAGGCUAGAGUGCAGGAGAGGAAGGUAGAAUUCCCGGUGUAGCGGUGAAAUGCGUAGAGAUCGGGAGGAAUACCAGUGGCGAAGGCGGCCUUCUGGACUGACACUGACGCUGAGGUGCGAAAGCGUGGGUAGCAAACAGGAUUAGAUACCCCAGUAGUC
RNAcentral lists this ribosomal RNA (465 nucleotides) under Vreelandella stevensii. RNAcentral's name for it is "partial 16S ribosomal RNA". It matches the Rfam family "Bacterial small subunit ribosomal RNA", at positions 338 to 795 of the family's 1533-position model. Lineage: Bacteria; Pseudomonadati; Pseudomonadota; Gammaproteobacteria; Oceanospirillales; Halomonadaceae. The record is from RNAcentral.